GACGAACGCUGGCGGCGUGCUUAACACAUGCAAGUCGAGCGGUAAGGCCCUUUCGGGGUACGACGAGCGGCGAACGGGUAGAGUAACACGUGGGUGACCUGCCCUCAGCUCUGGGAGUAAGCCUGGGAAACCGGGUACUAAUACUGGAUAUGACUCCAUGACGCAUGUUGUGGGGUGGAAAGCCUUGUGCGGCUGAGGAUGGGCCCGCGGCCUAUCAGCUUGUUGGUGGGGUGANGGCCUACCAAGGCGACGACGGGUAGCCGGCCUGAGAGGGCGACCGGCCACACUGGGACUGAGACACGGCCCAGACUCCUACGGGAGGCAGCAGUGGGGAAUCUUGCGCAAUGGGCGAAAAGCCUGACGCAGCGACGCCGCGUGA
RNAcentral lists this ribosomal RNA (379 nucleotides) under uncultured bacterium. RNAcentral's name for it is "bacterial SSU rRNA". It matches the Rfam family "Bacterial small subunit ribosomal RNA", at positions 28 to 404 of the family's 1533-position model. The record is from RNAcentral.